This 460-nucleotide ribosomal RNA is filed under the name uncultured bacterium. RNAcentral describes it as "partial 16S ribosomal RNA". It matches the Rfam family "Bacterial small subunit ribosomal RNA", at positions 338 to 795 of the family's 1533-position model. The record is from RNAcentral.
CCUACGUGGGGCAGCAGUGAGGAAUAUUGGUCAAUGGGCGCGAGCCUGAACCAGCCAAGUAGCGUGAAGGAUGACUGCCCUACGGGUUGUAAACUUCUUUUAUAAAGGAAUAAAGUGAGGCACGUGUGCCUUUUUGUAUGUACUUUAUGAAUAAGGAUCGGCUAACUCCGUGCCAGCAGCCGCGGUAAUACGGAGGAUCCGAGCGUUAUCCGGAUUUAUUGGGUUUAAAGGGAGCGUAGAUGGGUUGUUAAGUCAGUUGUGAAAGUUUGCGGCUCAACCAUGAGAGUGCGGCGCGAACUGGAGACCUUGAGUGCGCGGAAGGCAGGCGGAAUUCGUGGUGUAGCGGUGAAAUGCUUAGAUAUCACGAAGAACCCCGAUUGCGAAGGCAGCUUACUAAACUGUGACUGACAUUGAUGCUCGAAAGUGUGGGUAUCAAACAGGAUUAGAUACCCCGGUAGUC